AUAAUCACAGUGGGCGUUAGCGAGCUUUAUCUCGGUGCCAGGCACCGGGCUACCGCUUCUCGUUCCUCAUCGUUUGUCCUCACACCGACCCUGGAGGGGAGGCAGACGAGAAAACUGAGGCUGGCAGACGUCUGCCUAAGGUCUCACAACUAGAAAACUCCAUCCUCCUUCUGGUCUCAGUUUCCCCGUCUGUGGAAGGGGAAGGUUGCACCUGGGACUUGCCAACUGACAAGGGCAGGAGGGAGACCACAGACUUGCCUGGGGUUGGGCUGAGCGUAACACCGCGGCUUUGAAGGCUCACUAGUCCCUGGCUGCAAAUGCCUUCGAUGCCACAAGCAAGAGGAGAGAUGCGGAGUGGGGACCGUCCCCGUGACCUGGCACCCCCUCGUCAAAGCUGUGCCCCUUUGAGUGCCCAGGGUCCUGCCAGAGCUCAGCCAGGGACUCAAAGGUGUGCCCUUUGCCUUGCUGAUCUCCUCACUUCUGGGCUGGAACAUGGAAAUGACUCACUUUACAGAUGAGGGAACUGAGGCACAGAGUGGGGAAGAGUCUUGCCUGAGUUACGCAGACCUGGCUCCUACUGGCUCAAAGAGAGGGGGCUGUUAAAGGCUCAUGGAUUUUGCAAGCCCGAUUUCACUGGCGCUUUGAACUCAGCUGCAAGUGUAAGUAUUUACACCACGGCAAUUGGCAACUGACGCAAACCAAGAUUUUGUGGUUUUUUUGUUUACUGGUUUGCUUUGUUUCUUCCUUUCAGGCAGCCGGUGGUGAAACAUUUACCAGCUCACCACUGACUGGAGGCCAGCCACAGCUUUUAGAGACAGUGUCUCUAGAAGGGUCCCUAGCUUAGAAAGUUGCAGAGAUUUUCAAGACCGCACCCUCGUCUCCAGAUCUGUCACGGAUCUGAGGCUGACGCCAAAGACAAAGAAAUUUCUUCCUUCUCUCGUGAUGCCAACAGCUAGCUUCUCUCUCUACUCCACCAUAAUAACAUCCCAUCCUGUGCAAGAAGACUGUCCCGGCUGUCCCUUGGGGCAGGGAUUAAAGGUACUACAGGGUUCAGAGCGCCUGGCCAGCUCGCCCUAACCUCUGAUACCGUGUGAUCAAUUCCAUAAAUAUUUACCAAGCUCCUCACUUAACCUCCCUGAGACUGUCCCUUCAGCUGUAAAAAAAAAAAAAAAAAAAAAAAAAAACCAAGAAAAACUC
Molecule: long non-coding RNA, 1197 nt
Filed under: Felis catus (domestic cat)
Lineage: Eukaryota; Metazoa; Chordata; Mammalia; Carnivora; Felidae
Description: lncRNA (ENSFCAG00000053235.1)
Source: RNAcentral